UAUGAACGCUGGCGGCGUGCCUAAUACAUGCAAGUCGAGCGAACAGAUAAGGAGCUUGCUCCUUUGACGUUAGCGGCGGACGGGUGAGUUACACGUGGAUAACCUACCUAUAAGACUGGGAUAACUUCGGGAAACCGGAGCUAAUACCGGAUAACAUAUUGAACCGCAUGGUUCAAUAGUGAAAGGCGGCUUUGCUGUCACUUAUAGAUGGAUCCGCGCCGUAUUAGCUAGUUGGUAAGGUAACGGCUUACCAAGGCAACGAUACGUAGCCGACCUGAGAGGGUGAUCGGCCACACUGGAACUGAGACACGGUCCAGACUCCUACGGGAGGCAGCAGUAGGGAAUCUUCCGCAAUGGGCGAAAGCCUGACGGAGCAACGCCGCGUGAGUGAUGAAGGUCUUCGGAUCGUAAAACUCUGUUAUCAGGGAAGAACAAAUGUGUAAGUAACUGUGCACAUCUUGACGGUACCUGAUCAGAAAGCCACGGCUAACUACGUG
This 497-nucleotide ribosomal RNA is filed under the name uncultured bacterium. RNAcentral describes it as "partial 16S ribosomal RNA". It matches the Rfam family "Bacterial small subunit ribosomal RNA", at positions 29 to 507 of the family's 1533-position model. The record is from RNAcentral.